UUACGGCCACACCACGAUGAAACACCGGUCCCCCCUACGAUCACCGAAGUUAAGCAACGUCGAACCUGGCUAGUACCUACAUGGGUGACCACUAGUUAAUAGCAGGUGCUGUAAG
Acanthosepion pharaonis is the source of this 115-nucleotide non-coding RNA. The record is from the annotation of a GenBank genome assembly. NCBI's taxonomy places the organism in Eukaryota, Metazoa, Mollusca, Cephalopoda, Sepiida, Sepiidae.